RNAcentral lists this unclassified non-coding RNA (334 nucleotides) under soil metagenome. RNAcentral describes it as "partial contains 5.8S ribosomal RNA, internal transcribed spacer 2, and large subunit ribosomal RNA". The stretch from base 1 to 120 matches the Rfam family "5.8S ribosomal RNA", at positions 35 to 154 of the family's 154-position model. The record is from RNAcentral.
GAUGAAGAACGUAGCGAAAUGCGAUACGUAAUGUGAAUUGCAGAAUUCAGUGAAUCAUCGAAUCUUUGAACGCACAUUGCGCCCGCCAGCACUCUGGCGGGCAUGCCUGUUCGAGCGUCAUUUCAACCAUCAAGCCCCAGGCUUGCGUUGGUGCCCUGCGGCUGCCGCAGCCUCCUAAAAGCAGUGGCGGGCUCGCUAUCACACCGAGUGCAGUAGAUUACUCUUCGCUCAGGGCGUGCAGCGGGUUCCGGCCGUGAAACCCCCUACUUUUAAAGGUUGACCUCGGAUCAGGUAGGAAUACCCGCUGAACUUAAGCAUAUCAAUAAGCGGAGGA